CAGCCGCCGCGGUAAUACCGGCGGCCCGAGUGGCGGCCACUAUUAUUGGGCUUAAAGCGUCCGUAGCCGGGUUGGUUAGUCUCCCGGGAAAUCUGGCCGCUUAACGGUCAGAAUUCCGGGAGAUACUGCCAGCCUAGGGACCGGGAGAGGCCGAGGGUAUUCCCGGAGUAGGGGUGAAAUCCUAUAAUCCCGGGAGGACCACCUGUGGCGAAGGCGCUCGGCUGGAACGGGUCCGACGGUGAGGGACGAAGGCCAGGGGAGCAAACCGGAUUAGAUACCCGGGUAGUCCUGGCUGUAAACGAUGCGGGCUAGGUGUUGGGUGGGCUUAGAGCCCACCCAGUGCCGCAGGGAAGCCGUUAAGCCCGCCGCCUGGGGAGUACGGCCGCAAGGCUGAAACUUAAAGGAAUUGGCGGG
This 414-nucleotide ribosomal RNA is filed under the name uncultured microorganism. RNAcentral's name for it is "bacterial SSU rRNA". It matches the Rfam family "Archaeal small subunit ribosomal RNA", at positions 459 to 872 of the family's 1478-position model. The record is from RNAcentral.